GUUAGUGGUAGUUCAGUGGUUAAAACGUUGGACUACUGAUUGGAAGGUCAUGUGUUCAAAUCCUAGCACUACCA
This is a non-coding RNA of Ameiurus melas (black bullhead), 74 nucleotides long. NCBI's taxonomy places the organism in Eukaryota, Metazoa, Chordata, Actinopteri, Siluriformes, Ictaluridae. The record is from the annotation of a GenBank genome assembly.